GUGGGGAAUCUUGCGCAAUGGGCGAAAGCCUGACGCAGCCAUGCCGCGUGAAUGAUGAAGGUCUUAGGAUUGUAAAAUUCUUUCACCGGGGACGAUAAUGACGGUACCCGGAGAAGAAGCUCCGGCUAACUUCGUGCCAGCAGCCGCGGUAAUACGAAGGGGGCUAGCGUUGCUCGGAAUUACUGGGCGUAAAGGGCGCGUAGGCGGACAGCUUAGUCAGAGGUGAAAGCCCAGGGCUCAACCUUGGAAUUGCCUUUGAUACUGGCUGUCUUGAGUUUGGGAGGUGUGAGUGGAACUCCGAGUGUAGAGGUGAAAUUCGUAGAUAUUCGGAAGAACACCAGUGGCGAAGGCGACUCACUGGCCCAAUACUGACGCUGAGGCUCGAAAGCGUGGGGAGCAAACAGGAUUAGAAACCCGAGUAGUCC
This 425-nucleotide ribosomal RNA is filed under the name uncultured bacterium. Its description in RNAcentral is "partial 16S ribosomal RNA". It matches the Rfam family "Bacterial small subunit ribosomal RNA", at positions 354 to 796 of the family's 1533-position model. The record is from RNAcentral.